UGUCAUUCCUUAAUGGCUGCAGACAUCAGAAGCAAGAUCAGAGCAACUACCAAAACACAUUGAAAUGAAGAUAAUCAAGAAGAAAGGAUGCAUGACACAGAUGGUGCACAAAAACCAUCAACUGCUGCAAGUGUUCACUGACCACCUGCACAGUGCUGAGUGGUGCUUUCGGGUCUGUGAGAAAAGCACCGAGUUGAAGGAACACAUCUCUGCUAAAGACAGUCAAACCAUCACCACAGCUUCCGGACAAAGCAAGUUAGUGUGAACACAGAACAAGAGGAAGUACAAAAGUAAGUGAUUACAUAUGCACACAUGCCUGCAGGCAGGCUCUCACGAGGAAACAGAUUUUCAUUUACAAAACUUCAAAUCAAGAUACAAAUUGUUCUAUUACGUAACAUCAAGUAUAAGGGACCUGCCAAUUCUGACUCCAAGUGAGGUUUUGAGAAGUCAUGAAAGUUCUCCUACCUUCCAUUCAUUUUCAGAGCCUGGAGCACAUAGCUACUACACAUGGGGCUGGAGACUUGGAGGGUGGGGUGGGGGAAAGACUGUUACAGAUUUCCUAGUUACCUGCUAAGAUUUUUUUCCAUCUGAAUCAUUGUUUCUAGGCCACAUCAAUAAACCAUUCUGACAAACUGCAAUCCACAGAAGCCUAUUUUUCUCCAAAGUCAAAUCAUGUAUUCCCAGCUUAGCAACUUCAAGAGAGCAUUACCACAAACUGCUGGGCAAAUCCACUGACUGGCAGCGGCCUGAAGUGACAGGUUAUGCUCCCACACAGCCGCACUUUGCUUCUGCCUGCUGAGUCUCUCCGCUUCUUCUGCACCAUUUGGACACUUCUUUGAACAGUCAUCUGAGCUGAUCCAUCCCAAAAGCCAAGAAACAAAACCUUUCCUCUGAAUUUGUGAGGUAAAUCAGGUAACUCGUUUCAGGAGGAGUCAGACAGAGAAGAAAGCUGGGUUCAGGAAAUGGAAACAAGUCAUCUCACCAACAGAAGGCAGUCACAACAGCUAACCCUGGACACCACCUGGACACUUGGAGAGCUAUCAGCAUAUUCUUUGUUCUGGCCUGGUCAGAAGAUCCCUAGAACAUUAUUUGAAAUCUCACUUUUUUCUUUUUUUUUAAAAAUAAACCGUCCAUUAAACUCUCUUUAGAUGUCGCCAGCUUGACAAGCACUAGUGAAGUUGGGUGAACUGUAAAAGCCUCAAAUCUGCAACAAAUUUGCUUGAACUCUUAGUCUGAUUUGUUCAAUUGUGGAAGUUUAAGAAAUUUUCACAACUUUCUUAUCAUAGUUAAUAAUACUGAUCAUAACUGAUCAUAGUCUUUUCUACAGUUACAUCAAAGAAAGAACGAUGUCAUAAUAUUCUUGGUUUCCAAGUUCACACCUGGAUUCAUGUUUCAGUGAAGGUCACUUCAUUCUUUAAGCAUUCUUCUCAAAAUGAAGAGAGUUACCUUUCUGCUAACUUAUAUUUCAAUAAAAAUAGCGUGUCCUCAAACAUAACUAUUACAGUACGUACUUGCCCAGACCUUCAAAACCAUAAGAAUCUGAACCACUGGAUCUGGGACAUCCCAGAGCACACAAUACUUUCCACCCACAAUAGCUUAGUUGCUUAUAACUCUUGACAAACUUCAUGGAGUAGGGCCAGUGCCCAGCCUCUGAGGAAGACCAGUUUACCUCUGAGAAAUACAUGUAAUAUCUGCAAAACAGAUGGAAAGAGCCCAGAAAUACUGCCAGAGAAAUACGGGAUUUUGUACAUAAGACAGAGGGUACAUAAUGAACCUACCAAAGAAUUUCUCUUUUUAGAGAUGAGAGGCAAAGAGGAGAAGGGAGAUAAAUAGGUGUACGGAGAAACAAAAGGUGAAACAGGUAUCUGAUUGACCCAUUUUGUUAGUGAUCACUGAAAAGUGAAGGACCUGACCUCUCUUUUGCAAAGUUUCCUCUUCUCAGCUGACAAAGACUUAUCAACAGAAGAGCAGCUUUCAAUUGUGAAGGCAACAUCACAAAG
Motacilla alba alba is the source of this 2000-nucleotide long non-coding RNA. RefSeq lists it as uncharacterized. NCBI's taxonomy places the organism in Eukaryota, Metazoa, Chordata, Aves, Passeriformes, Motacillidae. The record is from RefSeq and is a predicted model, not a curated record. The transcript has 3 exons.